GGCUUGCCGUGCAAGGGACCGUCUCUUCUCAUCAGCUGCUUUGGACUUCCGCACUGGAACAAAAAAGGAGUCCUACAGGAGCGAACAGGCUCCUGCUACCCUUUACCCUUUGGACAUCUUCUUGCUUGUUGAAAUGUAACAACUGAGGCAGGAAGGAAAACAGCCCACCAAAAGUCAUCAGGAGCGUCUCCCUGUGCUACUCCCCAAUGUGCCAGCCUGACCUGCUUUGUAUCAUCUCCGAAUCAUCACACCAUACAUGAAAAGCAUGGCAGUACUGGAUAAAACUGGUCCAAAAGCGUUUUUUUUAUUCCCAUGAAGAUCUGUCUCAGCCACAAGUCCUGGCUGUGGGUGUAGAGACCAUGUUGCAGAAGAGUCAGUCUCUCUGAAAUGCAAGAGAGAGAGGACUUAGGAGGGAGUCACUUUCUGAUGUCUGAGCAUCUUGUGAGGAGGCUUCAUGUGAGCAGAGCAGAGCUGCAAUGAAGCCACAUGUGCAUAGGCAGUUAUAUCUCCAGAUCAGAAGUGAAGCAAAGCAGAAUUGCAAAACCCACCUGAAAUCAGUGCAGCCAAACGUAAUCACCACCCCAGCCUUGCUCUGAGUACACAAGCCUUCAUGGGUUAACUGUUACACAUUGGUUCAUUACAUGCACUUCUGUCAGAAAACAUUUAUGUUAGCAGCUGCACCAGCAAGAUGGAAGGAAAACUUCUAGUUUGGGUAUAAGAGAAGGAAAACACAACUGUACAAGUACAGCCCCCAAAAGACAGAACCAGACCUGUUUGUAUCUUACCAUUAUAGAAUGGCUUGGGUUGGAAGGCACCUCAAAGAUCAUCUAGUUCUGACCCCCCUGCCAUGGACAGGGCCACUACACCAGGUUGCUCAAACUCAGUCAGUGUAAAAAAUGAGAUUUCUCUAACUACAUAAUUUUAUUUACUGUUCUGCACAGAAGAGGUGCUGGGUGGUAAAUCCCAGAAGCAGCACCCUGAGGCACAAUCUUGAGCUAUUAAGUCUUAGUUAAGUCACUACUUGAUUUAAGUUGUUAUUGGCUCUUCCUUUCUCUACUUCAAAUUAAAGCUAUUGUGUCCUAAGAAA
Molecule: long non-coding RNA, 1087 nt
Organism: Vidua chalybeata
Lineage: Eukaryota; Metazoa; Chordata; Aves; Passeriformes; Viduidae
Exons: 5
Source: RefSeq, a predicted model, not a curated record